RNAcentral lists this long non-coding RNA (881 nucleotides) under Sorghum bicolor (sorghum). Its description in RNAcentral is "long non-coding RNA (SBIC_LNC010129)". Lineage: Eukaryota; Viridiplantae; Streptophyta; Magnoliopsida; Poales; Poaceae. The record is from RNAcentral.
CAUGAUGAGUUCCUAUAUGAUGAGAGUUUAAAUCCUACCACAACCACAUAUACAUGCUUAUUAGACUAUGAACCGUACAUUUACUUUUUACUACUUAUGAGCAUUGAGUGUUGUCAAGUUAGGUAGACCCUUAGGAACUUGUCAUGCGGUUAAAAUCAAGAUUCACUUGCACGUUCACUCAUACAUGCUACUUCUACUCUGGAAGUACACAUCCACAUCCACUCAUUUCCAUCUCCAGAUUCACCUAAAAUGAUUCUACUCCUAUCCGGGAGAGAAUAGCCAAAAACAUUAUCCUAUCCCUGUUAUUGCCCGUGAAGUAAAUGCUCAAGAUAUUUUGAUUACUACCACUUGCUACAUUAUUCUAGGAGGGUGAGUGCUCUGAAAAAAAAUAAUACGAGGAAAUAAAAAGGGGCAAGUGCCCGGAACCUCGAAGAAAAGAAAAAGUGAGACGAGAGGUAAAAAUGGAUAAGUGUCCGACAGUAGAAUUAGAGGUACAAGAUACCCACCUGAGAGUAAAGAAAAAGAAAAUAUAGAGCAUCUCAUUCCCCUCAAAAAGCUUCAAGUGCAAGAAAGGUAUGUAUCUCCUCAAAAGAGCAAAAGUAGAAUUAGACUUUCACCAUUGUUAUCACCAUACACCAUUCACUCGCCACACAUGCACAUCUUGAUUUGACUUAUUGACUUGUUUCUCUGGAUCCAUGGUUUGACUAUGCAAUAAAUGUCUUGUAAGUAUGUAUUAUCUGUCUCCCACCUAUGAGCUCCAGAUAUCAAAACCUUAUUAGAGUAGGGUGAGAGAGAAGGCAAUAUCACUAUGCCUCAUACCAAAAAUACCACAUACUUUGAGAGAAGGCAUAUACCAUUACUGACUUGGAAAGGAUCCAGAA